Molecule: long non-coding RNA, 1341 nt
Filed under: Triticum aestivum (bread wheat)
Lineage: Eukaryota; Viridiplantae; Streptophyta; Magnoliopsida; Poales; Poaceae
Description: long non-coding RNA (TAES_LNC028175)
Source: RNAcentral
CCGGGCGUUCGGUCUUUUCGGUUUGUUCGGUCCGGUCUUUUCGGUCUUCUAAUAAUUCGGUCUUCCAUAAUUGAGGACCGAAAUAAUUUCGGUCUUUUCGGUUCUUAACUAUUCGGUCUUCGGUCCCGACCAAACAGACCAAAUUAAUUAGUACAACUCAGAUUCAUGAUACUUCCAGUACAAUUCUAUGUCUAUAUUUUACAGGAAAUAACAAGAUUCAUAUCUGACACGAAGUAAGAAGAUUCAUGAUUUAUGUUCCAGCAACAAGAUUCAUGUAUGCAUAUCAUUUAUAUUUGACAGAAAGUAAGAAGUUAAAAAGCAACAACAUUUACAUUUGACAAAAAGUGAGAAGACAACAAGCAACACCAUUUAUAUUUGACAGAAAGUAAUAAGAUCACAAGCAACAACAGCCCAUGGAAUAUUGGAAUCGACAAGCAGCAAACAGCAGACAACCAUCACUUAGUAGUUGAUAACAUAGUACUUGACAUCAAACAAAUCAAUUUCGGCACCACCAUGGACCUUGUGCUUUCCCUUCACCUUGUCCCCAAAUUCUUCAAUUGUCUCUGCAACAAGUCAAGUAUUCAGUAAAAUUUCAUAAUCUUAGUGUUGGUAACAUCUUCUGCUAGUUCAUGGAAAAGUUGGUUGAUUUCUAGCAUGCGAGGAGAGUGCUGGAGUGGAGUGUGUUUGGUUGAUGAAAAAUGGAGAGUUCUGGAGUGGAGUGUGUUUGGUUGAUGACAAAUGCAAUCAGUACCUAGUACAGUUUUGAAGAUUACUACAAGAUGAGGAACAAACAAUCAAACAAAUUACUAUGUGUGCAUCAUGAUGUUCAGAUUCAGAUUUGGCUAUAUAUCUACAAAAGAGAAAAAAGAUACUCGCUAUUAGAGCAGAUAGCAACAAUACAAUUUGACAAUGAUAAAAAUCAACCAACUUUUUGAACUGGUUGGGGCGCCAGUCUCAACUGGUUGGGGCCUUGGCUCGAGGUGUUGAUCUUCAUCGGUCAGGGGCGCGCCGCGCGCCUCGAUGCGGCGGUCGUCACCGGCGGCGGACGGCCGUGUCGUGGGCAGUGGAGCGACUGACGGAGGGUCGAGGACGGCGGCAUGGGGCGCCGGUCUCCACUGGUUGGGGUCGGGGCUCGGGGCGCCGAUCUUCGUCGGCAUGGGCACGCCGCACGCCUCGAUGCGGCGGCCAUCACCGGCUCACAUCUCAUGGGCAUGGGGCGUCGGGUGGGCGACGGGCGGCGGCUAGGGUUCCUAGUGGGAGAGGAUAAGAGAAAUGGGAGUGAAUUGGCUGCCGGAUGCGUUCCUGUGAACCGUGAUGUGAGGAGGAGGACGCGUACUCGUG